UACGUAGGGUGCAGGCGUUAAUCGGAAUUACUGGGCGUAAAGCGUGCGCAGGCGGUCUGUUAAGAGAGAUGUGAAAUCCCCGGGCUUAACCUGGGAACUGCGUUUCUAACUGGCAGGCUUGAGUGUGGCAGAGGGGGGUGGAAUUCCACGUGUAGCAGUGAAAUGCGUAGAGAUGUGGAGGAACACCGAUGGCGAAGGCAGCCCCCUGGGCUGAGAUUGACGCUCAGGCACGAAAGCGUGGGGAGCAAACAGG
Molecule: ribosomal RNA, 253 nt
Filed under: uncultured bacterium
Lineage: Bacteria
Description: partial 16S ribosomal RNA
Rfam family: Bacterial small subunit ribosomal RNA
Source: RNAcentral